GUCGACGUACUUCAUAGGAUCAUUUCUAUAGGUCACGUCCCUCUUUGACUCUUCAAAAGAGCCACUGAAUCCAACUUGGUUGAUGAGUGAGAUACCCUUAUACCCUCAAAGUGAGAAUAAUCUUUAGCUUGUCCGUGACUCUCAGCAGUCCGGUCAUCUACAUUUUGUUUGCCUUUGUUUGGGCUGAAGGCUUCGGCCUGACGUCCUAAAAGGAGCGAUGAUCUUGACCCUUUUCUUUAUGCUUCUUCGGAAGAAAGAGUUUUGGGUGGGUAUAAGUGGCAGUCUGACAAGU
Molecule: small nucleolar RNA, 292 nt
Filed under: Suhomyces tanzawaensis NRRL Y-17324
Lineage: Eukaryota; Fungi; Ascomycota; Pichiomycetes; Serinales; Debaryomycetaceae
Description: Candida tanzawaensis NRRL Y-17324 Fungal small nucleolar RNA U3
Rfam family: Fungal small nucleolar RNA U3
About the family: Small nucleolar RNAs (snoRNAs) are involved in the processing and modification of rRNA in the nucleolus.
Source: Rfam by way of RNAcentral